RNAcentral lists this transfer RNA (74 nucleotides) under Grimothea gregaria. RNAcentral describes it as "Munida gregaria tRNA-Val". It matches the Rfam family "tRNA". From Rfam's summary of the family: Transfer RNA (tRNA) molecules are approximately 80 nucleotides in length. Their secondary structure includes four short double-helical elements and three loops (D, anti-codon, and T loops). Further hydrogen bonds mediate the characteristic L-shaped molecular structure. tRNAs have two regions of fundamental functional importance: the anti-codon, which is responsible for specific mRNA codon recognition, and the 3' end, to which the tRNAs corresponding amino acid is attached (by aminoacyl-tRNA synthetases). tRNAs cope with the degeneracy of the genetic code in two manners: having more than one tRNA (with a specific anti-codon) for a particular amino acid; and 'wobble' base-pairing, i.e. permitting non-standard base-pairing at the 3rd anti-codon position. The record is from RNAcentral. Lineage: Eukaryota; Metazoa; Arthropoda; Malacostraca; Decapoda; Munididae.
CAAAAUAUAGUUUAAUUAAAAAAAACAUCUCAUUUACAUCGAGAAGAAUUAUUGUGAAAAUCAAUUUAUUUUGA